Molecule: transfer RNA, 61 nt
Filed under: Escherichia coli 96.0932
Lineage: Bacteria; Pseudomonadati; Pseudomonadota; Gammaproteobacteria; Enterobacterales; Enterobacteriaceae
Description: partial tRNA-OTHER
Rfam family: tRNA
About the family: Transfer RNA (tRNA) molecules are approximately 80 nucleotides in length.
Source: RNAcentral
CGGUUAGAAUACCUGCCUGUCACGCAGGGGGUCGCGGGUUCGAGUCCCGUCCGUUCCGCCA